GUGGCUGUGGCUCAGUGGUAGAGCACUUGCCUAGCACAUGUGAGGCACUGAGUUCGAUCCUCAGCACCACA
Molecule: non-coding RNA, 71 nt
Organism: Ictidomys tridecemlineatus (thirteen-lined ground squirrel)
Lineage: Eukaryota; Metazoa; Chordata; Mammalia; Rodentia; Sciuridae
Source: Rfam